UUAAGCGACUAAGCGUACACGGUGGAUGCCCUGGCAGUCAGAGGCGAUGAAGGGCGUGCUAAUCUGCGAUAAGCGCCGGUAAGGUGAUAUGAACCGUUAUAACCGGCGAUACCCGAAUGGGGAAACCCAGUGUGAUUCGUCACACUAUCAUUAACUGAAUCCAUAGGUUAAUGAGGCGAACCGGGGGAACUGAAACAUCUAAGUACCCCGAGGAAAAGAAAUCAACCGAGAUUCCCCCAGUAGCGGCGAGCGAACGGGGAGGAGCCCAGAGCCUGAAUCAGCAUGUGUGUUAGUGGAAGCGUCUGGAAAGGCGCGCGAUACAGGGUGACAGCCCCGUACACAAAAGCGCAUGUGCUGUGAGCUCGAUGAGUAGGGCGGGACACGUGGUAUCCUGUCUGAAUAUGGGGGGACCAUCCUCCAAGGCUAAAUACUCCUGACUGACCGAUAGUGAACCAGUACCGUGAGGGAAAGGCGAAAAGAACCCCGGCGAGGGGAGUGAAAAAGAACCUGAAACCGUGUACGUACAAGCAGUGGGAGCACAGGUUUACCUGUGUGACUGCGUACCUUUUGUAUAAUGGGUCAGCGACUUAUAUUCUGUAGCAAGGUUAACCGCAUAGGGGAGCCGGAGGGAAACCGAGUCUUAAUUGGGCGUUAAGUUGCAGGGUAUAGACCCGAAACCCGGUGAUCUAGCCAUGGGCAGGUUGAAGGUUGGGUAACACUAACUGGAGGACCGAACCGACUAAUGUUGAAAAAUUAGCGGAUGACCUGUGGCUGGGGGUGAAAGGCCAAUCAAACCGGGAGAUAGCUGGUUCUCCCCGAAAGCUAUUUAGGUAGCGCCUCGUGAACUCAUCUCCGGGGGUAGAGCACUGUUUCGGCUAGGGGGUCAUCCCGACUUACCAACCCGAUGCAAACUGCGAAUACCGGAGAAUGUUAUCACGGGAGACACACGGCGGGUGCUAACGUCCGUCGUGAAGAGGGAAACAACCCAGACCGCCAGCUAAGGUCCCAAAGUCAUGGUUAAGUGGGAAACGAUGUGGGAAGGCCCAGACAGCCAGGAUGUUGGCUUAGAAGCAGCCAUCAUUUAAAGAAAGCGUAAUAGCUCACUGGUCGAGUCGGCCUGCGCGGAAGAUGUAACGGGGCUAAACCAUGCACCGAAGCUGCGGCAGCGAACGUAUCACCCAAGACAACUUUGCGGAGUUGACGAUUGACGGAGCGAAGCGACGUCAAAGCGUUCAUUAAAGUCGAGUUGGCUUAGGGAUACGUUCGUUGGGUAGGGGAGCGUUCUGUAAGCCUGCGAAGGUGGCCUGUGAGGGUUGCUGGAGGUAUCAGAAGUGCGAAUGCUGACAUAAGUAACGAUAAAGCGGGUGAAAAGCCCGCUCGCCGGAAGACCAAGGGUUCCUGUCCAACGUUAAUCGGGGCAGGGUGAGUCGACCCCUAAGGCGAGGCCGAAAGGCGUAGUCGAUGGGAAACGGGUUAAUAUUCCCGUACUUGGUGUUACUGCGAAGGGGGGACGGAGAAGGCUAUGUUGGCCGGGCGACGGUUGUCCCGGUUUAAGCGUGUAGGUGUGUGUUCCAGGUAAAUCCGGUUCACUUUAACACUGAGGCGUGACGACGAGGCACUACGGUGCUGAAGCAACAAAUGCCCUGCUUCCAGGAAAAGCCUCUAAGCAUCAGGUAACAUCAAAUCGUACCCCAAACCGACACAGGUGGUCAGGUAGAGAAUACCAAGGCGCUUGAGAGAACUCGGGUGAAGGAACUAGGCAAAAUGGUGCCGUAACUUCGGGAGAAGGCACGCUGACACGUAGGUGAAGUGAUUUACUCAUGGAGCUGAAGUCAGUCGAAGAUACCAGCUGGCUGCAACUGUUUAUUAAAAACACAGCACUGUGCAAACACGAAAGUGGACGUAUACGGUGUGACGCCUGCCCGGUGCCGGAAGGUUAAUUGAUGGGGUCAGCGCAAGCGAAGCUCCUGAUCGAAGCCCCGGUAAACGGCGGCCGUAACUAUAACGGUCCUAAGGUAGCGAAAUUCCUUGUCGGGUAAGUUCCGACCUGCACGAAUGGCGUAAUGAUGGCCAGGCUGUCUCCACCCGAGACUCAGUGAAAUUGAACUCGCUGUGAAGAUGCAGUGUACCCGCGGCAAGACGGAAAGACCCCGUGAACCUUUACUAUAGCUUGACACUGAACAUUGAGCCUUGAUGUGUAGGAUAGGUGGGAGGCUUUGAAGCGUGGACGCCAGUCUGCGUGGAGCCGACCUUGAAAUACCACCCUUUAAUGUUUGAUGUUCUAACGUGGACCCGUGAUCCGGGUUGCGGACAGUGUCUGGUGGGUAGUUUGACUGGGGCGGUCUCCUCCUAAAGAGUAACGGAGGAGCACGAAGGUUGGCUAAUCCUGGUCGGACAUCAGGAGGUUAGUGCAAUGGCAUAAGCCAGCUUGACUGCGAGCGUGACGGCGCGAGCAGGUGCGAAAGCAGGUCAUAGUGAUCCGGUGGUUCUGAAUGGAAGGGCCAUCGCUCAACGGAUAAAAGGUACUCCGGGGAUAACAGGCUGAUACCGCCCAAGAGUUCAUAUCGACGGCGGUGUUUGGCACCUCGAUGUCGGCUCAUCACAUCCUGGGGCUGAAGUAGGUCCCAAGGGUAUGGCUGUUCGCCAUUUAAAGUGGUACGCGAGCUGGGUUUAGAACGUCGUGAGACAGUUCGGUCCCUAUCUGCCGUGGGCGCUGGAGAACUGAGGGGGGCUGCUCCUAGUACGAGAGGACCGGAGUGGACGCAUCACUGGUGUUCGGGUUGUCAUGCCAAUGGCACUGCCCGGUAGCUAAAUGCGGAAGAGAUAAGUGCUGAAAGCAUCUAAGCACGAAACUUGCCCCGAGAUGAGUUCUCCCUGAGACUUAGAGUCUCCUGAAGGAACGUUGAAGACGACGACGUUGAUAGGCCGGGUGUGUAAGCGCAGCGAUGCGUUGAGCUAACCGGUACUAAUGAACCGUGAGGCUUAACCUU
This 2990-nucleotide ribosomal RNA is filed under the name Salmonella enterica. RNAcentral describes it as "bacterial LSU rRNA". It matches the Rfam family "Bacterial large subunit ribosomal RNA". The record is from RNAcentral. Lineage: Bacteria; Pseudomonadati; Pseudomonadota; Gammaproteobacteria; Enterobacterales; Enterobacteriaceae.